Molecule: non-coding RNA, 75 nt
Organism: Podarcis lilfordi (Lilford's wall lizard)
Lineage: Eukaryota; Metazoa; Chordata; Lepidosauria; Squamata; Lacertidae
Source: the annotation of a GenBank genome assembly
GGAAGGGCUGCAGCUCAGUGGUAGAGCAUCUGCCUUGCAUGCAGACGGUCCCAGGUUCAUUCCCUGGUGUUUCCA